This is an RNA transcript of Capsicum annuum, 3358 nucleotides long. RefSeq lists it as uncharacterized. The record is from RefSeq and is a predicted model, not a curated record. Lineage: Eukaryota; Viridiplantae; Streptophyta; Magnoliopsida; Solanales; Solanaceae. The transcript has 4 exons.
AAAAUGAAACCUAGAUCUAAUCACCUAAAAGAGAGGACUCUUCUCAGUAUAAUAAAAUCUAGGAAAUUGUAAAUAAGGGAGACUCUCCCCUUACAAAGUACGAAGAAAAUAAAAAUAAACACUAAAAUACUUCAUAAAAGCUAUAUCUAACACGAAUAGCAUAGAUGAAGAAGCUGAGAUGACAUUAACGAAGCAAACAUGUACCAGAAGAUUCAACUCCAUCUAGGGUGGUUUCUUAAUUUGCUUCAACUUUCUUCUUCUGAACUGUGGCAUUCCAAGCUUAUCCAUCUUGAAUAUCCUCUUACUUCUUCCGGUGAUGAAUUUUCAGCUUCAAUUAUUUGUCUAUUUUUGUUGUUACCAUCAUUUUGCAGGACAUAUCAUAGGAGUGUGACCUUGGUAUAUACAAUAUGAACAAUAAUCAGGUUUAAACACCACAGCUAGCAGCCUCUUUUUGGUCAUAAUUUCGAGAGGAGUGAUAUCAAUAAUCAUCACUUUCAUGGCUUCUUGAGCCCUCAACUUUGUCACCAAUGCAUGAGAAACAACUGGGGCAUUAGGACCCAAAAUUUUAUUGCUCCAUAUAUUAGUCGGAGGUUGGUUUCUAUCAUCAGCCUUUCGAUGCACCUCCUUCUCCUCAAGCUUACCAGAUUGAUCAACUUUAGGACUAUUUCUGUCAACAUUUCCAAUAUCGACCUCAUUUGCUACUGUGAGCUCAUUCACUUUAUGAUUCAUAUGAGUAGACUUAGCAAAAUUGUUGGAAACUUCCAUAGGUUUACUGUUAGGAACAUAUGGUUUAGAAGCAAUUUUUUGAACAUUUUCAAAAUUUUUCUGCAUAUUCUUGUCCUUACCACCUUUAGCAAUAUUAUGAAUUUGAUUACUCAUCUUAAUAGCUGCAACCUUACCAGAUGUAGUAUCUUUAGAAUUCACCAAACUAAAACAAUUUUGGUCGUGGAAUUCAGCAACAUCAGCAUGUUUUUUUCUUUGAGGUCAUCAUGUUUAACCAUAGUAACAUUGUUCGAAUCAGUAGAAAAAUUGGAAUUGAUGGAAUUGAUAGACUCACCAGAACAAUCUUUCAAACUAGAGCUAAUAGCACCAUUAUCAGAAUUAUCAUGGUCUGAAAGUUCAGAAUCUUCAUUUUGCAAAUCAUAAACAGUAGCAUCAUUUUCCAAAAUCGUAGAAUUUAGCUUGGUUGAUCCUUUGUGAUAAUUUGAUGGGGCUUUUUUAGAAAUCACCAUCUCCAUAUCAUUUAUAGUUGAUUUUCCUUGACCAAUUGGAUUUGCGAUCGCCGUAUCACCAUUUUCAGCCAAAAUAGGUGGUACAGAGGUGUCAAAAUUAUAAUUUAUUGAUGUAGGAUCAAUUUGAGAAGGGGCUUUCAGCAUAUCUUCACUCGAAAUACCCAAUUGCAGCUUUUCUUAUCAUGAUUUAUGAAUUUUCUCUGUUAAUUUUACAUUUGCUUUAAAAUUUGAAAAAUUAGGGCUUGAAGCCCAAAAUUCUAAAUUGGAACUGUUAUGAACACCACAAAUUGGGGCUUUUGAGUUAAAAUUGUUCCUUACCUCCCCAUCAAUAAUUUGAUAUUGAAUUUACUCAAUUUUGUCAAAUAAAAUUUGGUCGCCAAAGUUGUGCAAUUUUUUGGCAGUCUUAAUCGGUACUGUUGGCUCUAAUUUUUAGCUAUUAGAGGCACUUUGAUCUCCUCUAGCCAUCUCUAUCAUUGCAUCUGCAUCUCUUUUCCCAGAAGUGUCACGAUUUUGCAUAAAAAACUUUGGCGACUUGGGCGAAACUAUCUCUAAAUUGGCUUGAUCGAAUUUUGCAAUAGCCACCCGAGAAUUUUAACUGGAAUUUUAAUCCUAGGAGCCGUAUGAUCUAUAUUAGUAAUUCUAGCACUUGGAAUUGCUUCAUUAUCUUCCAAAUUAUCAUGUGAAAGAAUUUUUCUAAUUGAUUCCCAUUGUUCAUCAGAAAUCGCACUCGAGACCUCUUUAAGUUUUUUUAAUUUCUGAACAUUGAGAGAUGAGAUUGUGGAAUAAUCAAUUUGGGGUUUAUGUGCAACAUCUAUGUGAACUUUUUUAGACUGUUCCAGUGGCCGGUGAAGCUCCAUCGAUGGCUAUGAAGCUAUUCUGGCAGAAAUAGUAACUGAAAAUUUCUAGAGAGAAGGGAAAAAAUUUUGUAGAGAGAGAAAAACUUCAAGAAAAUAAAAAGUGAUAUGUUUUAUUUUGUGCUUCUUUUUUUAUAAACCAUUUUGACCCUAAUUUAAAAGUGGGCAAUAUGGGUAUCUUUGGCUUUAUUUUAUAGGUAGAUUUUGUAUUUGUAUCUUUUAGAUGAUUUCAAAUUCAUUCAUAAGGGGAAAGCUCCAAAUUUAGGGGUUGUAGGAUCGGUUUUGGUAUCCGAUACAGGUGAUGGCUUAACUUUCUUCAGACAGGGUUGAGUAGUUAAUAAUAAUGUAAAAGCAUUAUAUGGGUAUGAGUUUGUAUCACGAAAAAUGUGUUUAGAUGAUUUAUGUGCCUGUGUGGGGGCCUACGUGGAUAAUAUUUUAUGGUUUUGAGACAUUAUUUGUUAUGUGUGAUCGUGUGAGAUUUUUAUGUUGUUGGCCUAGUGUUGAUAUAUGUAUGUUAUAUUGUACUCUCUUUUGUGGUUAACAACCUAGAUUUUAGGAUUUAUAUAAUGUCAAUGACUUUUCUUGCAUGUUUCAUUCGAUGGUUUUUGGAUUAUUUCGGAUCUUGGAUAAUUGGUUAAUAUACGUGGAUAUUUGGCUCAUAUUGUUAGUAUAUUGGUUGGAUAUUGGAUAUUCUCAUUUUGGUUGGUUAUGAGCAUUACAUCCUCAUAUCAGACUCAUUCAGGUAACAUUGGACCACCGUGGAAAUACUGUAAACACUGGCUUUUUCUGACAAAAAAUAUGACAUCGUUAAAAAUCCUCUACCAAUGUAUAUGCUAGAGAUAAGUUAUGGAUAUUGGCUAUAUAUAGGUUGAUGAACCCACCAUGGGUCCUUCCUCAGAGCAUAGCUUGGUAGGUACGUAUGGAGGUUGUGCAACGAUCUUGUGCAUCACAUCAUCAUCAUAAUUAUAUUUGUAUUGCAUUUCAUAUAUUGUGCUUAUUCUGUGAUUGUGUUUCUAUUCUUGGCUUGAUAUUUCUUAAUUUGUCCUAUCCUUAUACUUGUAUUUGGUGUUUGUGUCUAUUUGUUCUUCUUUUCCCUGCCUAUAAUUAUUCUAUGUGUAUAUAGUUGAACUAUUAGUAGAGACAAUAUAGGCUACCAUUUGGGACAUUUUCUAAUUGCAGGUGAUGUGCCCAUAGUUUGUGUUUAUAUGCUUCAUUUCUUACUUUACUCAGUCGACCUAUGAUACCUACUAAGUACAAGUGGACCGUACUCAU